RNAcentral lists this unclassified non-coding RNA (379 nucleotides) under uncultured bacterium. RNAcentral describes it as "partial contains 16S ribosomal RNA, 16S-23S ribosomal RNA intergenic spacer and 23S ribosomal RNA". The stretch from base 301 to 379 matches the Rfam family "Bacterial large subunit ribosomal RNA", at positions 1 to 79 of the family's 2925-position model. The record is from RNAcentral.
UUGCGGCUGGAUCACCUCCUUUCUGGAGAUCUCGAGUAAGCGACGGUUUACCGUCCGCGGAAAGAGCUCCGGUGUCGCCCGCACUCGUCCACGAUCCGUCGUUCCAUUAUUUCAUUGCAUUCGUUGCCAGGCCGGCGCUCGCGCCGUGGGCCUCGUGAUGACGCUCUUUGACAAUCGUAGGUCCGGAUGGGGCGAACGCAUUCUUCGGAAUGCCGUUCGCGAACAAAUGUUGAGGAAUCAACACCGUAGAAGUUUGUAGUGUGGCGGCCGCAAGGCUGCCAUAUCAGCGUAAUAGAUCGAGAUCAAACGCAAUAAGGCGCACGGUGGAUGCCUUGGCAUCGAGAGGCGAUGAAGGACGUGAUAAGCUGCGAUAAGCCUG